This 64-nucleotide transfer RNA is filed under the name Heterocerus parallelus. RNAcentral describes it as "tRNA-Ala". Lineage: Eukaryota; Metazoa; Arthropoda; Insecta; Coleoptera; Heteroceridae. The record is from RNAcentral.
AGGAUAAUAGUUAAUUUUAACAUUUAACUUGCAUUUAAAAAAUAUUGCCCAGCAAUUUAUCUUA